This 402-nucleotide ribosomal RNA is filed under the name uncultured bacterium. RNAcentral's name for it is "bacterial SSU rRNA". It matches the Rfam family "Bacterial small subunit ribosomal RNA", at positions 355 to 774 of the family's 1533-position model. The record is from RNAcentral.
UGGGGAAUAUUGGACAAUGGGCGCAAGCCUGAUCCAGCCAUGCCGCGUGAGUGAUGAAGGCCCUAGGGUUGUAAAGCUCUUUCACCGGUGAAGAUAAUGACGGUAACCGGAGAAGAAGCCCCGGCUAACUUCGUGCCAGCAGCCGCGGUAAUACGAAGGGGGCUAGCGUUGUUCGGAAUUACUGGGCGUAAAGCGCACGUAGGCGGAUCGAUCAGUUAGGGGUGAAAUCCCGGGGCUCAACCCCGGAACUGCCUCUAAUACUGUCGAUCUGGAGUUCGAGAGAGGUGAGUGGAAUGCCGAGUGUAGAGGUGAAAUUCGUAGAUAUUCGGAGGAACACCAGUGGCGAAGGCGGCUCACUGGCUCGAUACUGACGCUGAGGUGCGAAAGCGUGGGGAGCAAACA